GGACAUGUAGCUCAGUUGGUUAGAGCGUCACGUUGACAUCGUGAAGGUCACUGGUUCAAAUCCAGUUAUGUCUA
Molecule: transfer RNA, 74 nt
Filed under: Batrachospermum sp.
Lineage: Eukaryota; Rhodophyta; Florideophyceae; Batrachospermales; Batrachospermaceae
Description: tRNA-Val
Rfam family: tRNA
About the family: Transfer RNA (tRNA) molecules are approximately 80 nucleotides in length. Their secondary structure includes four short double-helical elements and three loops (D, anti-codon, and T loops).
Source: RNAcentral